RNAcentral lists this ribosomal RNA (496 nucleotides) under uncultured bacterium. Its description in RNAcentral is "partial 16S ribosomal RNA". It matches the Rfam family "Bacterial small subunit ribosomal RNA", at positions 29 to 507 of the family's 1533-position model. The record is from RNAcentral.
AUGAACGCUGGCGGCGUGCCUAAUACAUGCAAGUCGAGCGAACAGAUAAGGAGCUUGCUCCUUUGACGUUAGCGGCGGACGGGUGAGUAACACGUGGGUAACCUACCUAUAAGACUGGGAUAACUUCGGGAAACCGGAGCUAAUACCGGAUAAUAUUUCGAACCGCAUGGUUCGAUAGUGAAAGAUGGUUUUGCUAUCACUUAUAGAUGGACCCGCGCCGUAUUAGCUAGUUGGUAAGGUAACGGCUUACCAAGGCGACGAUACGUAGCCGACCUGAGAGGGUGAUCGGCCACACUGGAACUGAGACACGGUCCAGACUCCUACGGGAGGCAGCAGUAGGGAAUCUUCCGCAAUGGGCGAAAGCCUGACGGAGCAACGCCGCGUGAGUGAUGAAGGUCUUCGGAUCGUAAAACUCUGUUAUUAGGGAAGGACAUACGUGUAAGUAACUGUGCACGUCUUGACGGUACCUAAUCAGAAAGCCACGGCUAACUACGUG